GCUACGGGUGGCAGCAGUGAGGAAUAUUGGUCAAUGGACGAGAGUCUGAACCAGCCAAGUAGCGUGAAGGAUGACUGCCCUAUGGGUUGUAAACUUCUUUUAUAAAGGAAUAAAACGAGGCACGUGUGCCUCUUUGCAUGUACUUUAUGAAUAAGGAUCGGCUAACUCCGUGCCAGCAGCCGCGGUAAUAGGGGGGAUCCGAGCGUUAUCCGGAUUUAUUGGGUUUAAAGGGAGCGUAGAUGGGUUGUUAAGUCAGUUGUGAAAGUUUGCGGCUCAACCGUAAAAUUGCAAUUGAUACUGGCAGCCUUGAGUACAGUAGAGGUAGGCGGAAUUCGUGGUGUAGCGGUGAAAUGCUUAGAGAUCACGAAGAACCCCGAUUGCGAAGGCAGCUUACUAAACUGUGACUGACAUUGAUGCUCGAAAGUGUGGGUAUCAAACAGGAUUAGAUACCCGAGUAGUC
This 460-nucleotide ribosomal RNA is filed under the name uncultured bacterium. RNAcentral describes it as "partial 16S ribosomal RNA". It matches the Rfam family "Bacterial small subunit ribosomal RNA", at positions 338 to 795 of the family's 1533-position model. The record is from RNAcentral.